This 104-nucleotide small nuclear RNA is filed under the name Propithecus coquereli (Coquerel's sifaka). The record is from RNAcentral. Lineage: Eukaryota; Metazoa; Chordata; Mammalia; Primates; Indriidae.
GUGCUCACUUCAGCAGCACAUAUACAAAAAUUGGAACAAUUUAGAGAUUAGCACGGCCCCUGUGCAAGGAUGACACGCAAAUUUGUGAAGCAUUCCAUAUUUUG